AAGGGAGACCUAAUUCAGGUAUGGGACGAAAAAAAAGUAGUCGCUACCAAAAAUCAAUCCCAAAAGGUCGGAGCGAGGUAUGAGGCUUUCAAACUAGGUUCUGGGUUCAAACAAGACCUGAAUCAGGAACAAGGGCUAUUAGCUCAGGUGGUUAGAGCGCACCCCUGAUAAGGGUGAGGUCCCUGGUUCGAGUCCAGGAUGGCCCACCUGCACAGGUGGCAAAAACAAGAGAAGCGAGGAAUCAGCACCUUAUCUUAUCUAUAUAUAAGAGAGAAUGCUGGCUCUGAGUAAAGAGUCCAGAGGAACCUUGAAAACUGCAUAGAGCUAGGUGAAAAAGCCAUAAAAGAAGACCGCAA
Molecule: transfer RNA, 356 nt
Filed under: uncultured Microcystis sp.
Lineage: Bacteria; Bacillati; Cyanobacteriota; Cyanophyceae; Chroococcales; Microcystaceae
Description: partial 16S-23S ribosomal RNA intergenic spacer
Rfam family: tRNA (bases 133-206)
Source: RNAcentral